CAGGAAAUGAAAUCUGUGAGUCUAAAUCUUAGGACAGCUGAAGGUUAGUACCCAGAAGAGGCCAAAAGAAAGAUUGAUUACUUUUCCCUUGCAAUUUUCCCUGCUUCUGCCUUCUCACUGAAGGUUCCACAAAACCCCCCAACAACCUACCACCAACAAAACCAACUCACAACAAAAGCUCUGUCCAGUUUAAACCUAAAGGUAACUUUUGAAGGUCCAGCAAAAAUGUACCUGUGCUUCUUUGGUAUGCCAGCCCUCUUUGGGUCCCAACAGUCUGCUUUGGAGCUUCUGAGUCACUGUGUGCUCUCUUACAUUUUUAGCCAUUAGUGAAGUCCAGGUUACAACCUCCGUGACUAUGAGAAGGAAGUUUUUCAGUGCCUUGUAGUGCAUAAGUGUGGGCUGUCCAUACAGUGUAUUGGCUCCUCAGCACUUUCUGCUGACCCCUACACAUCCUCCAGAGCUUUCUUGGAUUUUCACUCUUGUUGCAGCUAUUUACCAAAAAGGUGAAUAAUCCACAAGUUACUGUCCAUCCUUGCUUCUUAUACUGUUUGUUCACUCGUGUUUGGGUUUUUUCCUCCUUAGGACACAAAAGUAUUUUUUGAUUCUGCUUUGGCUCCAAAAAUUGCCAAAGGUUUCUGCACACCUGCUAAAUUUAAAUCUGCUAUCAGUAUCUGUUUAGAAAGAUGAAGUGAAUAAAUCCCUUCCUUCUAUCAACAACACUUUCCAAAGGCUCCAGUUCAGGGAAUUCCCAUGACCUUUGUGAGAGAUGAGUAGAGUGAAUCCUCCAGACACAUCCCACUGUGCAGGUCUGGAGACAGGACAUGUGUAUCCUUAUGGAUGGAGGAUACAGACAUCCUUGUCUUUGAGGAGCUCAGUGGUCUGUCCUGGUUAGAUGUCCACGAGCACCCAUGGUCCAAGCUGGGACUGGCUGUGGGGGGAGCUGGAGCUUUUCCCAGGGUGGUCGUGGCUGGCAGGAGCUGUGGAGCCUCCUGGCCCUCUCUGGGGCACGGGGCCUCCUCUGUUCCCGGGGCUGGUAAAGAAUUACCUGGAUGUGCCGCAGAGUCUCGUUGGAGCUUGUGUUAUGUAAAUGCUCGGACUUCAUUCUUUGACUUUUAUUUUUUUAACCAGAUACGCCAGGAGCCUGAAAUCUUCCAGCCAGCGUCAGAUGUGAAGAGGAGGACUUCUGGGUUCCUACAUAAAAAAGAGAAAAGAAGGGGCAUCUCUCAGCAGUUCGUCAGCUGAAGGUCUCUGGGUUACCCUCAGGCUGCUCUAAGAAUUGUGCUUCUGGCCCAAGAGCAGGAGCAUGUGGGAGCCAGUCUUGCUUAAGGCAACCCAGUCAUGAGCAUAACUGAAGCCUUGGGUGAAGAACAAAACCCUGAGAUUAAAUGGAUUUACUCUGCAAGAUGAGUUUCACUUAUCACCAAAUUAUUUUGGCCUGCAAAGUGUAAGAGCAAUGCAGGAUGGAAGAUACACAUUUGGUCACCAUAUGGUUCUGAAGAGUGGAUCCUUGUGUGACAAAGAGAAGAGAAUUGUAAAAUUUUUUCUGAAAUGUCUUUGAGGUUUUGCCACUUAAAAUUGCUUUGAACUUGCUCAGGACUCAUAAAUUGGCACCAUAAUAACAAGGAUGACUGUUAUAUUCAGGGAGAAAUACACAUAAGCUGGAAAAAACACUGCUGGUUAAAGUGUAAAGAAGGAGGACCUGAUGUGCACUUUGGUCAGGCAUUUAAGUAUUCUGAGAUCAGACUAAAAACAAUAGGACUGCUGCAAAAAGUCAACUUUUUUCUCCUCUCCUUAUGUAACAGAUACAGCAAGAGCAGAAACAAGAACAGUCAUAUUAAUCGGUCUGUACUUUUAUUUGCUUGCUGGUUGUUAAGUCUCCUGGUUGCUCAGGAUAUUAUUUUCAAGUGUCCUCUACAAUAACCAGAGUUAAAGAAUAAAGACAUGAAAGCUUAAAUUGUUUAGAUGUUA
Molecule: long non-coding RNA, 1968 nt
Organism: Zonotrichia albicollis (white-throated sparrow)
Lineage: Eukaryota; Metazoa; Chordata; Aves; Passeriformes; Passerellidae
Source: Ensembl